AUGCGUUGUUGGGUAGGGGAGCGUUCUGUAAGCCUGUGAAGGUGGCCUGUGAGGGUGGCUGGAGGUAUCAGAAGUGCGAAUGCUGACAUAAGUAACGAUAAAGCGGGUGAAAAGCCCGCUCGCCGGAAGACCAAGGGUUCCUGUCCAACGUUAAUCGGGGCAGGGUGAGUCGACCCCUAAGGCGAGGCCGAAAGGCGUAGUCGAUGGGAAACGGGUUAAUAUUCCCGUACUUGGUGUUACUGCGAAGGGGGGACGGAGAAGGCUAUGUUGGCCGGGCGACGGUUGUCCCGGUUUAAGCGUGUAGGUGUGUGUUCCAGGUAAAUCCGGUUCACUUUAACACUGAGGCGUGACGACGAGGCACUACGGUGCUGAAGCAACAAAUGCCCUGCUUCCAGGAAAAGCCUCUAAGCAUCAGGUAACAUCAAAUCGUACCCCAAACCGACACAGGUGGUCAGGUAGAGAAUACCAAGGCGCUUGAGAGAACUCGGGUGAAGGAACUAGGCAAAAUGGUGCCGUAACUUCGGGAGAAGGCACGCUGACAUGUAGGUGAAGUGAUUUACUCAUGGAGCUGAAGUCAGUCGAAGAUACCAGCUGGCUGCAACUGUUUAUUAAAAACACAGCACUGUGCAAACACGAAAGUGGACGUAUACGGUGUGACGCCUGCCCGGUGCCGGAAGGUUAAUUGAUGGGGUCAGCGCAAGCGAAGCUCCUGAUCGAAGCCCCGGUAAACGGCGGCCGUAACUAUAACGGUCCUAAGGUAGCGAAAUUCCUUGUCGGGUAAGUUCCGACCUGCACGAAUGGCGUAAUGAUGGCCAGGCUGUCUCCACCCGAGACUCAGUGAAAUUGAACUCGCUGUGAAGAUGCAGUGUACCCGCGGCAAGACGGAAAGACCCCGUGAACCUUUACUAUAGCUUGACACUGAACAUUGAGCCUUGAUGUGUAG
This 943-nucleotide ribosomal RNA is filed under the name Salmonella enterica subsp. enterica serovar Saintpaul. Its description in RNAcentral is "partial 23S ribosomal RNA". It matches the Rfam family "Bacterial large subunit ribosomal RNA", at positions 1216 to 2141 of the family's 2925-position model. The record is from RNAcentral. Lineage: Bacteria; Pseudomonadati; Pseudomonadota; Gammaproteobacteria; Enterobacterales; Enterobacteriaceae.